GUCAGGACACUUGGAGGGGAGAAAACUCAAGGGAGGGACUGAUUUCCCAGAGGACAAUCCAUUUUCCAGUGACCCUACUGUCCACAGUUGGGACAUGGCCUUGUAGGAAGCCCGAGAAAAGGGCAAGCUUUUGUUUAGUGGCCCAGAUUGCUGUAGUGAACCGUCCCUAGCAAGGAGAAGGAAACAAGAGGAUAAGAUCAGUAUUUGAGAAAGAAAGAUGAAGGCAAACAGGCCCCUCAACACCUGCUACCUCAUGGAGGGGCUGAUAAAUUAUCAAGAUCUCAGAGAAUUUGGAUAUUGAAAGUACCCUCAGCUGGCCAGCAUAACCCAUUAUGGUAUGUACUGGGGCCACAUGGAAAUGGAGUAAAAGGGCAUUAAACUCAGGAACUUGCACUUGCAAGGCAGGCGUGGCACCAAUGAGAUGGCGGGUGGUGUUCCUGUCCAGGUUCUAUUACUUAUCUCCAAAUAACAGCCAACAUCCUGAUUUCUGAGAAGACAUAAAUCAGUCCAGAGCAACCGAGGACACAGAUUCUCCCCUGAAGCAUCUAAGAGGAAUGGAGCCUUGC
This 566-nucleotide long non-coding RNA is filed under the name Heterocephalus glaber (naked mole-rat). RNAcentral's name for it is "lncRNA (ENSHGLG00000049658.1)". Lineage: Eukaryota; Metazoa; Chordata; Mammalia; Rodentia; Bathyergidae. The record is from RNAcentral.